RNAcentral lists this long non-coding RNA (386 nucleotides) under Lathyrus oleraceus (garden pea). RNAcentral describes it as "Pisum sativum (pea) long non-coding RNA (PSAT_LNC039853)". Lineage: Eukaryota; Viridiplantae; Streptophyta; Magnoliopsida; Fabales; Fabaceae. The record is from RNAcentral.
UGGAAGAAGAGAGUUUUCUUUUAUUUUUAUUUUUUUAAUUAUUAUUCAAUUUAUUUCUAAAUUCUGAUUGGAUAAUAAAAUGUACAUGGAUUGUGAACUUAGACCCUUGAUUAUAUUGAAUCAACGAUUUAGUUUGAAUCAAAGAAGCACACGAAGAAACACACAUUAUUUAAAUAAAUCAAAAUGUAUAUAAUGCAUUUUUUAGAUGACUUAAUCGAUUUAAAACAAUUUUAAUCAGUUGAAUCAAAUAAAAUUCACAAAUUUUUAAACAACCUUGAUAAAAUUAAAAUAAUAACAUGGAAAAUUUUAUUUAUUCAAUCUGACUAUUUUGACGAAAGAACAAAAUUAAAACGACUAAAAAUGAAUAAAAUUCGGGCAAAAAUUUG